CGUUCUUCCUCACCAUCUGUCGACCACCGAAUCGCCGGCAAAACCUCUCAACAUAACCGCUCAACACCCUUCUUCUCCACUUCGACCGUCGAAAUACUCCUCCGAUUCACCUAACAUCUUCCAUCACUUUAACAAGCGUAAUCUCACUGUUGAGUUUAAUUUACUAACCUGAUCGGGAUACCGCAAGGAUGUGAUUCAAUUAGAUGUCGCGAUGUACACGUUUCAGUUAUGAUUUGUUCCUCUUUGGAUCGCCGCUUCGGUUACGUAUCAGUGCUAGCAUCGGUGAGGUCGCCGAAAUAUCAUUGUUUUCCUUUGAUAAAAUGUUGAUGUUGCUGCUCCGAAUGAGUCUGAGUUGUCGUCUACGGCACUAGUUGUUUUUUUGGAUCAGUGAUGACAUAUCCAUUGUUACGGUACAAAUCAAUUUAAAUUUGUGGCAUAACGUUGAAUCUUUCAUUUUCAUAACAGUACUGGAUAUAUUUGGGAUAGGUUGUGUUUGGGGUAAUUUUUCGGUUCCAUCUUAGAUAUGUAUUCAUUUUGCUUUGAACUCUGCAUUGCUUAUGUUAGUUAUCCUUUUGUAGCAGGAUGUACCAGUAAUUUUCUUUUCUUUUCUUGAAGUGGCUUUACUUGGCUUUUAUUUUUCGGUUGCAAUUACUAUUCAUUUUCAAUUCAAAUUAUUCAGUGAUUGGUAUUAUGUUUGUA
Lathyrus oleraceus (garden pea) is the source of this 699-nucleotide long non-coding RNA. RefSeq lists it as uncharacterized. NCBI's taxonomy places the organism in Eukaryota, Viridiplantae, Streptophyta, Magnoliopsida, Fabales, Fabaceae. The record is from RefSeq and is a predicted model, not a curated record. The transcript is spliced from 3 exons.